RNAcentral lists this ribosomal RNA (2902 nucleotides) under Klebsiella pneumoniae. RNAcentral's name for it is "23S ribosomal RNA". It matches the Rfam family "Bacterial large subunit ribosomal RNA". The record is from RNAcentral. Lineage: Bacteria; Pseudomonadati; Pseudomonadota; Gammaproteobacteria; Enterobacterales; Enterobacteriaceae.
GGUUAAGCGACUAAGCGUACACGGUGGAUGCCCUGGCAGUCAGAGGCGAUGAAGGACGUGCUAAUCUGCGAAAAGCGUCGGUAAGGUGAUAUGAACCGUUAUAACCGGCGAUGUCCGAAUGGGGAAACCCAGUGUGAUUCGUCACACUAUCGUUAACUGAAUACAUAGGUUAACGAGGCGAACCGGGGGAACUGAAACAUCUAAGUACCCCGAGGAAAAGAAAUCAACCGAGAUUCCCCCAGUAGCGGCGAGCGAACGGGGAGCAGCCCAGAGUCUGAAUCAGCUUGUGUGUUAGUGGAACGGUCUGGAAAGUCCGACGGUACAGGGUGAUAGUCCCGUACACCAAAAUGCACAGGCUGUGAACUCGAAGAGUAGGGCGGGACACGUGGUAUCCUGUCUGAAUAUGGGGGGACCAUCCUCCAAGGCUAAAUACUCCUGACUGACCGAUAGUGAACCAGUACCGUGAGGGAAAGGCGAAAAGAACCCCGGCGAGGGGAGUGAAAAAGAACCUGAAACCGUGUACGUACAAGCAGUGGGAGCACCUUCGGGUGUGACUGCGUACCUUUUGUAUAAUGGGUCAGCGACUUAUAUUCUGUAGCAAGGUUAACCGUAUAGGGGAGCCGCAGGGAAACCGAGUCUUAACUGGGCGUUAAGUUGCAGGGUAUAGACCCGAAACCCGGUGAUCUAGCCAUGGGCAGGUUGAAGGUUGGGUAACACUAACUGGAGGACCGAACCGACUAAUGUUGAAAAAUUAGCGGAUGACUUGUGGCUGGGGGUGAAAGGCCAAUCAAACCGGGAGAUAGCUGGUUCUCCCCGAAAGCUAUUUAGGUAGCGCCUCGUGAAUUCAUCUUCGGGGGUAGAGCACUGUUUCGGCUAGGGGGUCAUCCCGACUUACCAACCCGAUGCAAACUACGAAUACCGAAGAAUGUUAUCACGGGAGACACACGGCGGGUGCUAACGUCCGUCGUGAAGAGGGAAACAACCCAGACCGCCAGCUAAGGUCCCAAAGUCAUGGUUAAGUGGGAAACGAUGUGGGAAGGCACAGACAGCCAGGAUGUUGGCUUAGAAGCAGCCAUCAUUUAAAGAAAGCGUAAUAGCUCACUGGUCGAGUCGGCCUGCGCGGAAGAUGUAACGGGGCUAAACCAUGCACCGAAGCUGCGGCAGCGACACUAUGUGUUGUUGGGUAGGGGAGCGUUCUGUAAGCCUGCGAAGGUGACCUGUGAGGGUUGCUGGAGGUAUCAGAAGUGCGAAUGCUGACAUAAGUAACGAUAAAGCGGGUGAAAAGCCCGCUCGCCGGAAGACCAAGGGUUCCUGUCCAACGUUAAUCGGGGCAGGGUGAGUCGACCCCUAAGGCGAGGCCGAAAGGCGUAGUCGAUGGGAAACAGGUUAAUAUUCCUGUACUUGGUGUUACUGCGAAGGGGGGACGGAGAAGGCUAUGUUAGCCGGGCGACGGUUGUCCCGGUUUAAGCAUGUAGGCUGAUUGUCCAGGCAAAUCCGGAUAAUCAAGGCUGAGGUGUGAUGACGAGGCACUACGGUGCUGAAGUAACAAAUGCCCUGCUUCCAGGAAAAGCCUCUAAGCAUCAGGUAACAUCAAAUCGUACCCCAAACCGACACAGGUGGUCAGGUAGAGAAUACCAAGGCGCUUGAGAGAACUCGGGUGAAGGAACUAGGCAAAAUGGUGCCGUAACUUCGGGAGAAGGCACGCUGGUGUGUAGGUGAAGUCCCUGCGGAUGGAGCUGAGACCAGUCGAAGAUACCAGCUGGCUGCAACUGUUUAUUAAAAACACAGCACUGUGCAAACACGAAAGUGGACGUAUACGGUGUGACGCCUGCCCGGUGCCGGAAGGUUAAUUGAUGGGGUUAUCCGUAAGGAGAAGCUCUUGAUCGAAGCCCCGGUAAACGGCGGCCGUAACUAUAACGGUCCUAAGGUAGCGAAAUUCCUUGUCGGGUAAGUUCCGACCUGCACGAAUGGCGUAAUGAUGGCCAGGCUGUCUCCACCCGAGACUCAGUGAAAUUGAACUCGCUGUGAAGAUGCAGUGUACCCGCGGCAAGACGGAAAGACCCCGUGAACCUUUACUAUAGCUUGACACUGAACAUUGAGCCUUGAUGUGUAGGAUAGGUGGGAGGCUUUGAAGCGUGGACGCCAGUCUGCGUGGAGCCAACCUUGAAAUACCACCCUUUAAUGUUUGAUGUUCUAACGUUGGCCCCUUAUCGGGGUUGCGGACAGUGUCUGGUGGGUAGUUUGACUGGGGCGGUCUCCUCCCAAAGCGUAACGGAGGAGCACGAAGGUUAGCUAAUCCUGGUCGGACAUCAGGAGGUUAGUGCAAUGGCAUAAGCUAGCUUGACUGCGAGCGUGACGGCGCGAGCAGGUGCGAAAGCAGGUCAUAGUGAUCCGGUGGUUCUGAAUGGAAGGGCCAUCGCUCAACGGAUAAAAGGUACUCCGGGGAUAACAGGCUGAUACCGCCCAAGAGUUCAUAUCGACGGCGGUGUUUGGCACCUCGAUGUCGGCUCAUCACAUCCUGGGGCUGAAGUAGGUCCCAAGGGUAUGGCUGUUCGCCAUUUAAAGUGGUACGCGAGCUGGGUUUAGAACGUCGUGAGACAGUUCGGUCCCUAUCUGCCGUGGGCGCUGGAGAAUUGAGGGGGGCUGCUCCUAGUACGAGAGGACCGGAGUGGACGCAUCACUGGUGUUCGGGUUGUCAUGCCAAUGGCACUGCCCGGUAGCUAAAUGCGGAAGAGAUAAGUGCUGAAAGCAUCUAAGCACGAAACUUGCCCCGAGAUGAGUUCUCCCUGAGACUUUAAGUCUCCUGAAGGAACGUUGAAGACGACGACGUUGAUAGGCCGGGUGUGUAAGCGCAGCGAUGCGUUGAGCUAACCGGUACUAAUGAACCGUGAGGCUUAACCUU